RNAcentral lists this long non-coding RNA (676 nucleotides) under Homo sapiens (human). Its description in RNAcentral is "non-protein coding lnc-VSIG8-2:3". Lineage: Eukaryota; Metazoa; Chordata; Mammalia; Primates; Hominidae. The record is from RNAcentral.
ACUAUCUGUCAUCCUCAUUCUAGCUUAAAAUGCUUCUGUGGCCUCCCGUGGACCUGAGGAUGAGGACUAACUCUGCUCUGCAUGCAGGCCCUCCUGAGUCAGGCCUUCUUCUCCAGGCUGGUCGCCCACAGUCAUUCUGCCCUCCAGCCAUCCCAAGCCAGAAGGCCUCCUUCUCAGAACUACUGAUUUCACACUUCCCUGUGUUGUACUUUCCCCACCACCCCGACUAGGCAUGCUGCUCCCUCUAUCCUUGCAAACAGAACAUGGCUGUGCAGUCGGCGAGGACAUCCUUCCAGGCUUCCUGACCACAGGCAGGAAGAGAAGUCCCCCCUGCCACUCCACACCCAGGAGAAGAGAGUGGCUGGUCCUGUCAGACUCUGGCUUUCCAAAGUCUGGGCAGGGCCUGGCACAGGGAUUCAGCAGCUAAGAAAGCCAAGAGGAGUUACUGACCAGCUUUUCUCCAGGAUCUCACAUAAACCAGAAGUGCAGCAGCAAUAACCAUCAGGCCAAGCAGGCUCGCAGGAAGCCAAGGAACCAGCCAGUUGCUGGCGGGAGUGAACAAGACUUGAGAACCUGGGAGCAGGGAGAAGAAGGUGGCCAUGAGCACUGAAGAUAAAAUUCGGAAAUGCAUUCUAGCCUGGCACAGAACAGGCAGAAUGACUGAUAUUAGGGGAAC